GCUUCCAUUAGAUUUUGCAGUAUUUUCAGAAACGAGGAAAGAACAAAAUGGAUGUGUUUUAAAUGCACCCCAAAAAAUAAAUUAAUUGAGAAUAUAGUAAAAACGGUAACCGUACCAUUGAGUUACUGGGGAAAAAAAGAAGUUAUAAACGGAUGUUGCGUUUUCUCGAAUUCCCAGGGAUUGUGUUAUAUACUUCAGUAUCUUGGAUCAAUGGUUUCGGGAUGUAAGGGCGUUUACCCCAGCCUCCGAAGAGGAGUUUCAGCACCACGAACUGAAGUCAUAUCGUGGCUACUGUCCCAACAUUGCCCUACCAGUGCUCUUCAGCUUUUCGAGAUACAUUAAGAUCUGAAGAAUCAGAAAUCCAUUCAUCCCAGUGACGGUUUCACCAACCUAGAGCCUGCCCCAGGAACAUAGGACAGAAGGCAGGAUGAAGAGCACGUGGGUGACUUCAGCCAAGAUGGGACACCAGUCCACCAUAUUGCAACAGGAAAAAGGAACAGUCAGAGAUCACCCAAAUCAAACCCAGCUACUCAAGAUGUUAUUGGAAGCUUAUACUGUAGGAAAACCAAUGCAGAAGCUAACCUAACCUAAGCUGAGUCAGCAGUGAUAACUGCCACGUCACUACAGUAUGCUGCCCUUCACUCAGCUUCUUUUUUUUCCAUUUGAGGAAAACUUAUCCUCUUCUUGUUUCUUUUGCAGACUUCAUGCUCACAUACCUUCCUGCUCUAACCUCUUAAUGUAUGAUCAGCUCACUGCCCUCUCUUAAAUCCCUGUUUGGUAGCUCAACACUAACAGUAAAAUGAUCCUUCAUAUUGUAUUAAAACUAAGGAUCAGUUUUAGUCCUCUCCCUUGUUUCUCAUAUAUUUUCAGUUCAGUAAGUACUGCUAUAGUACUGACACAACUUAUCAUCUUGAUAUAGUGUGUGACUCACUCUGCAGCUGAUGACCAGUACAUUAAUUUCACAAUAAGAGAAAGAACAUACAGUAGUAAAACGUGAAUUUCACUGUUCGGAGCUUGUAAGCUUGGGAAUUUGGUAAUUAGUGGAAUGUUGGAAACUGGGGAAAAAGUGGAUGCAGAUUAAAAAAAUGAUUUCAUAUUUAAUAUUCCUGCUAAUUUGAGUUUUAGUGUGGGAUACAUUGCAAUGAUGCUUAGUGGUAAGUAUUGCAAUCCUGCAGGUGGCAGUAAUUACCUGUUUUUUUUAAGAAAAAAUCCAUGCACUGAAAUGAAGGAACUGAAAAAGAGGUAUGUAUACUGUAACUGAGCAUUCUUAUAUCAAAACUCCACGUAGAAAAGAUGUCCUUAAUAUGAUCUACUGUAUGUAUUUAUUUUUAUCACUGUUUUCUUGAAUGUGGCGUGUUUGAAAUUAAUAUGCAAGUGGUUUAUUGAUCAUGCUUUUUUGCUGCAAUACAUUUCUUUCUUUGCUGUGCAUGUCCAACCUACUCCUGAUAAAAGCUGUGCUAUUCCUUGAUA
Molecule: long non-coding RNA, 1470 nt
Organism: Lepisosteus oculatus (spotted gar)
Lineage: Eukaryota; Metazoa; Chordata; Actinopteri; Semionotiformes; Lepisosteidae
Source: RefSeq, a predicted model, not a curated record